GAUGAACGCUGGCGGCGUGCCUAAUACAUGCAAGUCGAGCGAACAGACGAGGAGCUUGCUCCUCUGACGUUAGCGGCGGACGGGUGAGUAACACGUGGAUAACCUACCUAUAAGACUGGGAUAACUUCGGGAAACCGGAGCUAAUACCGGAUAAUAUAUUGAACCGCAUGGUUCAAUAGUGAAAGACGGUUUUGCUGUCACUUAUAGAUGGAUCCGCGCCGCAUUAGCUAGUUGGUAAGGUAACGGCUUACCAAGGCAACGAUGCGUAGCCGACCUGAGAGGGUGAUCGGCCACACUGGAACUGAGACACGGUCCAGACUCCUACGGGAGGCAGCAGUAGGGAAUCGUCCGCAAUGGGCGAAAGCCUGACGGAGCAACGCCGCGUGAGUGAUGAAGGUCUGCGGAUCGUAAAACUCUGUUAUUAGGGAAGAACAAAUGUGUAAGGAACUAUGCACGUCUUGACGGUACCUAAUCAGAAAGCCACGGCUAACUAC
This 494-nucleotide ribosomal RNA is filed under the name uncultured bacterium. Its description in RNAcentral is "partial 16S ribosomal RNA". It matches the Rfam family "Bacterial small subunit ribosomal RNA", at positions 28 to 504 of the family's 1533-position model. The record is from RNAcentral.